GACGAACGCUGGCGGCGUGCUUAACACAUGCAAGUCGAACGGAAAGGCCCCUUUGGGGGGACUCGAGUGGCGAACGAGUGAGUAACACGUGAGUAACCUGCCCUUGACUUCGGGAGAACUUAAGGAAACUGAGGCUGGUACCGGACAGGAAUCAUCGCUGCAUGGUGGGGGGUGGAAAGCUUCGGCGGUUUGGGAGGGACGCGCGGCUUUUCAGCUUGGUGGUGGGGUAGGGGCUUACCAAGGCUUUGAGGGGUAGCCGGCCUGAGAGGGCGACCGGCCACAUUGGGACUGAGAUACGGCCCAGACUCCUACGGGGGGCAGCAGUGGGGAAUAUUGCACAAUGGGCGGAAGCCUGAUGCAGCAACGCCGCGUGCGGGAUGACGGCCUUCGGGUUGGAAACCGCUUUCAGCAGGGGCGAAGCUUGUGGUGACGGUACCUGCAGAAGAAGCACCGGCUAACUACGUG
RNAcentral lists this ribosomal RNA (465 nucleotides) under uncultured bacterium. RNAcentral's name for it is "partial 16S ribosomal RNA". It matches the Rfam family "Bacterial small subunit ribosomal RNA", at positions 28 to 507 of the family's 1533-position model. The record is from RNAcentral.